CCUCGUCUGCUCUGUACAGCUACAAAGAGUCCUGAAAUCUUUUGUGAAAGUGCAAAUCAGUUUCAGCAAUUAUCAUACCAGGAAUAUGAGGAAAGCGGAGGCAGCGCCAAUGGCCGGUGCUACGGCGUAUUCUAUGGCUGGGGCAUUUGAUUAACAAUAUGCAAGACUACACAACUUCAUUACUCACUAUCUCAGCGUACACCAAGCGGCGCUGACGACCCUGCUACCGCUGAAUACACAUGAGCUUUCCCUGACCGGCUAAAGAAGGAUUUUAUACCAGGUCUGUUCAAACUAGAUAAUUAUAUCUUUUCAAGUUGGAAUUAAGAUAAAUAACUGGAGGAAAAGGCGGCUUGCCUUGAUCCCUUGAACCAAAUUCGGCGCACUUUUUCUAAGCAUCAGACAGUGACAGGACAGUUAAUUCAGUAAAGUUCCUGUAUCUUGUCCCGCUGACUCCAUUUACUCAUUUUCUCGAUGGCAAAAAAAAAGCUGUGUGCUAAUUAUGCUGCAAAUUUUGCUGUUGUUUAAUUAUGCCAUUCUACAUAUAAAUUUCUCGAAUAAAGUAUCCGCUUUCAUCAUUUCCAAGCUCCGAAUGUCAUUGCAUAGAAAAAACUCACAAUAAUAAAAGCCCGUAAUUCUUAAUCCCCGGUGGCACUGUUUAUUGUGUGUUGCUGUGUUAAAAUCAUCUCCUAUUGUGGAGAUUUAGGAUUAAUAUUGCCAUUAAAAUAUCAAAGUGAUAGGUCUAGUUAAU
Molecule: non-coding RNA, 748 nt
Organism: Chiloscyllium plagiosum (whitespotted bambooshark)
Lineage: Eukaryota; Metazoa; Chordata; Chondrichthyes; Orectolobiformes; Hemiscylliidae
Source: RefSeq, a predicted model, not a curated record